AGAGUUUGAUCAUGGCUCAGAUUGAACGCUGGCGGAAUGCUUUACACAUGCAAGUCGAGCGGCAGCGCGGGGCAACCUGGCGGCGAGCGGCGAACGGGUGAGUAACAUAUCGGAACGUACCCAGUCGUGGGGGAUAACUAUCCGAAAGGAUAGCUAAUACCGCAUACGACCUGAGGGUGAAAAGCGGGGGGACCGAAAGGCCUCGCGCGAUUGGAUCGGCCGAUAUCGGAUUAGCUAGUUGGUGAGGUAAAGGCUCACCAAGGCGACGAUCCGUAGCUGGUCUGAGAGGACGACCAGCCACACUGGAACUGAGACACGGUCCAGACUCCUACGGGAGGCAGCAGUGGGGAAUUUUGGACAAUGGGCGCAAGCCUGAUCCAGCCAUUCCGCGUGCAGGAUGAAGGCCUUCGGGUUGUAAACUGCUUUUGUACGGAACGAAACGGUCUGCCCUAAUACGGUGGGCUAAUGACGGUACCGUAAGAAUAAGCACCGGCUAACUACGUG
This 504-nucleotide ribosomal RNA is filed under the name uncultured bacterium. Its description in RNAcentral is "bacterial SSU rRNA". It matches the Rfam family "Bacterial small subunit ribosomal RNA", at positions 8 to 507 of the family's 1533-position model. The record is from RNAcentral.